AGAUCCUACGGGGGGCAGCAGUGAGGAAUAUUGGUCAAUGGGCGGAAGCCUGAACCAGCCAAGUCGCGUGAGGGAUUAAGGCCCUAUGGGUCGUAAACCUCUUUUGCCGGGGAGCAAAAAGCGGUACGUGUACCGCAUCGAGAGUACCCGGAGAAAAAGCAUCGGCUAACUCCGUGCCAGCAGCCGCGGUAAUACGGAGGAUGCGAGCGUUAUCCGGAUUUAUUGGGUUUAAAGGGUGCGCAGGCGGCGAGUUAAGUCAGCGGUAAAAUUUAGGGGCUCAACCUCUUCGAGCCGUUUAAACUGGU
RNAcentral lists this ribosomal RNA (305 nucleotides) under uncultured bacterium. Its description in RNAcentral is "bacterial SSU rRNA". It matches the Rfam family "Bacterial small subunit ribosomal RNA", at positions 333 to 637 of the family's 1533-position model. The record is from RNAcentral.